Lycium ferocissimum is the source of this 1284-nucleotide long non-coding RNA. RefSeq lists it as uncharacterized. The record is from RefSeq and is a predicted model, not a curated record. NCBI's taxonomy places the organism in Eukaryota, Viridiplantae, Streptophyta, Magnoliopsida, Solanales, Solanaceae. The transcript is spliced from 2 exons.
ACUUUCUAUUUGCAUUCUGUACUCUGUCAAAAGACAGUAAUCUGAUCAUUAUAUUGCUGGUAUGGUGAUAUAAAACUUUGUUGUUGGUGCAGCAUGCUUUCAGCCACUACAUAAUUCAAAAAAUAUUUUAGUAAUUUCAGGAACUUGGGAGACGGCUAGGUACCUUUAAAUAACAACAUUUCCAUCCAUGUUGGGGUUAAUGUGAAUGCUGGAAAUGAUCUUAUCCCUUGUGUGAAGUUCCUUAAAUCAACCUCCUUUGCACUCUGGAUCAAACAUGUUUCACUAGGCAAACACAAGAUUGGGACUUGAAGACUUCAUGCACUUCCCGUCUUUUCAACUUCAAUUUGUAAUCCUUCAAGUUUAAAUUUUUGACUUGUCUGAUGCAAUACUUUAGUUGCACUUAAGUUCAUCACCUUCUUCCUAGUGCGUUAACUCGGAAGCUCCUACUGGGAUUUUCUCUUAUAGUGGGGGGAGAAAGAAAUAGAAUUUGGGAAGGCACUAUAAGUGUCUAUACGGGUGAUGCCGCAUAAUGUUAAGAACCUGUUGGUAUGCUGGCAGAAUCAGAAGACAACGAAAAGGCUGAAGUAGAUUUGGAAAAAGAGAUGCUUUGAAGGCAAAAAGAGUCACAUAGCAGUGGUAAAAAACAAGUGUAUCCAGUAUCUGUACUAUUGGUGUAAGGAGGGCUUGUUAGAGGAUAUGGAUCAAUAUCUUGAUUUCCUAAAGUUGUUAGGGAGAAGCAUGUGAUGGUUGAUUGGUCUGAGUUCUUCUUUCUGUUGUAAACUUGUAAUUUCUGUACCAGCUUGGUACUUCAUUAAUAAAAUUUACCCUACCUUUAUCAAAAAAAAGUGUCUAUAUGGUGCCUUGGUUAAAGGGAAUUCACGUUCAGAAACAGGCUUAUAUCUAUUUAAAUAACUCUAUAUUACUUAGUUUCCUCUGGUUUGAUGCAUUGAAUAUCAUCCCUAUACUUGCAUUGUCCUUUUCAAGCUUUUCAGCUAGCUGAGAAUUGCGUAAAAUAGGGGUUUGGUCUGUGAUUCUGCCCAACCUUGUAUGGUAUUGCCACCACCUUAGUUCAUCUUGUGAAAGACUGAAAGUGCUAGUGCGAGCAAGUACAGAACAAUGUGCAGUAUGACCUAAUACCUUCAAAACUGCAUCACCUCGUUUUAACAGAAAAUUGACUCUGAAAUUGAAAUAAAAAAUGAGUUGUUAUUUCCAACUUCUUGAUAAGAACUUAUUUUUCUUAAGUAAACAGAUCUUAGACAUAUUAUUCAUGUGGAAAAUUUGUGU